UGGGGAAUAUUGGACAAUGGGCGAAAGCCUGAUCCAGCCAUGCCGCGUGUGUGAAGAAGGUCUUCGGAUUGUAAAGCACUUUAAGUUGGGAGGAAGGGCAUUAACCUAAUACGUUAGUGUUUUGACGUUACCGACAGAAUAAGCACCGGCUAACUCUGUGCCAGCAGCCGCGGUAAUACAGAGGGUGCGAGCGUUAAUCGGAAUUACUGGGCGUAAAGCGCGCGUAGGUGGUUUGUUAAGUUGGAUGUGAAAUCCCCGGGCUCAACCUGGUAACUGCAUUCAAAACUGACUGACUAGAGUAUGGUAGAAGGUGGUGGAAUUUCCUGUGUAGCGGUGAAAUGCGUAGAUAUAGGAAGGAACACCAGUGGCGAAGGCGACCACCUGGACUAAUACUGACACUGAGGUGCGAAAGCGUGGGGAGCAAACA
RNAcentral lists this ribosomal RNA (427 nucleotides) under uncultured bacterium. RNAcentral describes it as "partial 16S ribosomal RNA". It matches the Rfam family "Bacterial small subunit ribosomal RNA", at positions 355 to 774 of the family's 1533-position model. The record is from RNAcentral.